UUUGGUAGCUGACAGCUAGCUUUUUGCAACUCUCACAUGUUCACCCACUGAAGCUCAGCAGGGCUGUACCUGGUCAGUACCUGGAUUGGAGAUCACAUGGGAAAGCUAGGCUGCUGCUGAAA
Molecule: ribosomal RNA, 122 nt
Filed under: Danio rerio (zebrafish)
Lineage: Eukaryota; Metazoa; Chordata; Actinopteri; Cypriniformes; Danionidae
Source: RNAcentral